AUAAAGGCAGUGAUUGGGAGGAGUAAAUGUAUUUUUGCAUUUAGAGAGGAAGUGGAUGGUGAAAACUUCUUGAAAAAUAUAGUGAAGCAGCCCAUGAGCCAUAGUAUUGAAAGAUGCACAGUUUGCAGCGUAGCUGUGUAAUUAGGGUGGUACCGCGGAAUGAGCUUUCGUCCCUUGC
RNAcentral lists this non-coding RNA (178 nucleotides) under Clostridium magnum. Its description in RNAcentral is "T-box sequence". It matches the Rfam family "T-box leader". Rfam says of the family: Uncharged tRNA acts as the effector for transcription antitermination of genes in the T-box leader family. The record is from RNAcentral. Lineage: Bacteria; Bacillati; Bacillota; Clostridia; Eubacteriales; Clostridiaceae.